Long non-coding RNA from Papio anubis (olive baboon), 495 nucleotides. NCBI's taxonomy places the organism in Eukaryota, Metazoa, Chordata, Mammalia, Primates, Cercopithecidae. The record is from Ensembl.
AUGAGAAGGAGGGAGGACCCCCACUCUCACCCAUUCUACGUGGAGGGAGUAGUGGAAGCGGAUGAAGAACAAACGGCUGGAGCGCGGGGUCCUAGCGGUAGAAGACUGGGAAGUAAAGGGAAGACAGAGGCCGUGGCUGAAUUUCUGAUAGCCUGUGUAGGUUUGAAUGGCAAAGCUUCAAUUAGAGUUUUUAUUUGUUUCACCUUUAACAGAAUUUUCUGCAAAAGGCAGAGGCAGCUGACAUCUUCAAAAGACGUUUACGUCGUUUUACGGCAAAACUGCAGCAGCUCUAUUACAUCGAAACAGAAGGAUGAUGGGAGGGAAAUUCCUUUGGGUUCUUUGCUCGCCUAUCAAGAGAACAUCCCUAACAAACUCAGAGUGCUGAAACACUGGAAGCCAGCUACAGGUCUUUUUCCUUUCUCGUCCAGAUGGUAUGCCUCUUGUUCCUCUUUUAGACACAGGCUUAUGAAAAUUUGGAAAUAUAUAAAUGCUUAA